UACGGAGGAUCCAAGCGUUAUCCGGAUUUAUUGGGUUUAAAGGGUGCGUAGGCGGAUUGAUAAGUUAGAGGUGAAAUGUCCGAGCUCAACUCGGGAACUGCCUCUAAUACUGUUGAUCUAGAGAGUAGAUGCGGUAGGCGGAAUGUAUGGUGUAGCGGUGAAAUGCUUAGAGAUCACGCAGAACUCCGAUUGCGAAGGCAGCAUACCGGCGCCCGACUGACGCUGAGGCACGAAAGCGUGGGGAUCGAACAGG
RNAcentral lists this ribosomal RNA (253 nucleotides) under uncultured bacterium. RNAcentral describes it as "partial 16S ribosomal RNA". It matches the Rfam family "Bacterial small subunit ribosomal RNA", at positions 524 to 776 of the family's 1533-position model. The record is from RNAcentral.